This 750-nucleotide ribosomal RNA is filed under the name Triticum aestivum (bread wheat). Its description in RNAcentral is "partial small subunit ribosomal RNA". The record is from RNAcentral. Lineage: Eukaryota; Viridiplantae; Streptophyta; Magnoliopsida; Poales; Poaceae.
AUGGAGGUCCUUAUUUCUAGUGGUGUGGAACUACUCAAGCGCAGCAAACAGGGUGGUCUUAGUCAACAUCAGCUUGGGAUUAAGAAAAAAUCCAUGGAAUUUGCUCGGUGGGCUCAAGAAAGAGGACAAAGUUUUAUAGUCAAUGGACUAAAAUCAGCAUGUGCCAGUAUUCAGGUAAUUAUUCAAGGAAAGAAGAGAUUUGUGAGUUUGGAAAAACAAAAAUGGUCGAUUCUUGAGCCUGGUACUACUAUAAUGUCACUAAAAGUACUCCCUCGACCUAAUAUUCACUUGACAUUGAAGAUACUUGAUGCAACACCUAUGGACUCUAGUUUGAUUUGCUUGCUGGAAGAUAUUGAAUACAGACCUGUACCAUUGUCAUGCUCUAUUCCUCAUGGUCACUGUGCUGGGGUGAUACAUGAUUUUGAGGUUCUGAAUCCAUGGUCACCACCACUAUACUUGAAUAUUCUGGCACUAAGUUCCUUCAGAGGGGUUCCCUUUUAUGCUUCUGAACAAAUUCAGUGGGAAAUUGCUGGUGAUAUUUUCAAGAAAUUGUUUCUUUGCAGCAUGGGUGAGGAAAUCCUUCCAGCUAACUUAAUUGUCGUCUGCUAUAGCAUUGUUGGUGUUUCUGUUUGGUCCAAGUUUGCUACAGGAUUCAAACAAAUAGAGGCCUGUUUCGUUGAGCACUUCAUGACACAGUGCAUCAAUUUGGGAUUUUCUCCUAGUGCCACUCUAGCACAUAUGCAGUUGUAG